RNAcentral lists this transfer RNA (74 nucleotides) under alpha proteobacterium HIMB114. It matches the Rfam family "tRNA". From Rfam's summary of the family: Transfer RNA (tRNA) molecules are approximately 80 nucleotides in length. Their secondary structure includes four short double-helical elements and three loops (D, anti-codon, and T loops). Further hydrogen bonds mediate the characteristic L-shaped molecular structure. tRNAs have two regions of fundamental functional importance: the anti-codon, which is responsible for specific mRNA codon recognition, and the 3' end, to which the tRNAs corresponding amino acid is attached (by aminoacyl-tRNA synthetases). tRNAs cope with the degeneracy of the genetic code in two manners: having more than one tRNA (with a specific anti-codon) for a particular amino acid; and 'wobble' base-pairing, i.e. permitting non-standard base-pairing at the 3rd anti-codon position. The record is from Rfam by way of RNAcentral. Lineage: Bacteria; Pseudomonadati; Pseudomonadota; Alphaproteobacteria; Candidatus Pelagibacterales; Candidatus Pelagibacteraceae.
GCAGCUGUAGCUCAGUUAGUUAGAGCGCCUGUCUGUGGAACAGGAGGUCGUUGGUGCAACUCCAACCAGCUGUA